ACGAACGCUGGCGGCGUGCUUAACACAUGCAAGUCGAACGGAAAGGCCCUGCUUGCCGGGUACUCGAGUGGCGAACGGGUGAGUAACACGUGGGUGAUCUGCCCUGCACUUCGGGAUAAGCCUGGGAAACUGGGUCUAAUACCGGAUAGGAGCCAUUUUUAGUGUGAUGGUUGGAAAGUUUUUUCGGUGUAGGAUGAGCUCGCGGCCUAUCAGCUUGUUGGUGGGGUAAUGGCCUGCCAAGGCGGCGACGGGUAGCCGGCCUGAGAGGGUGGACGGCCACAUUGGGACUGAGAUACGGCCCAGACUCCUACGGGAGGCAGCAGUGGGGAAUAUUGCACAAUGGGCGCAAGCCUGAUGCAGCGACGCCGCGUGGGGGAUGACGGCCUUCGGGUUGUAAACUCCUUUCGCUAGGGACGAAGCUUUUUGUGACGGUACCUAGAUAAGAAGCACCGGCUAACUACGUG
Molecule: ribosomal RNA, 464 nt
Filed under: uncultured bacterium
Lineage: Bacteria
Description: partial 16S ribosomal RNA
Rfam family: Bacterial small subunit ribosomal RNA
Source: RNAcentral